ACUCCUACGGGAGGCAGCAGUAGGAAUCUUCCGCAAUGGGCGCAAGCCUGACGGAGCAACGCCGCGUGAGCGAGGACGGCCUUCGGGUUGUAAAGCUCUGUUCUUCGGGAAGAAGGGCGGGAGGGCGAACAACUCUUCCGCUUGACGGUACCGAAGGAGAAAGCCCCGGCUAACUACGUGCCAGCAGCCGCGGUAAUACGUAGGGGGCGAGCGUUGUCCGGAAUUAUUGGGCGUAAAGCGCGCGUAGGCGGCUGGUUAAGUCCUGUGUGAAAGACCACGGCUCAACCGUGGGGGUGCACGGGAAACUGGCCGGCUUGAGUGCAGGAGAGGGGAGCGGAAUUCCCGGUGUAGCGGUGGAAUGCGUAGAGAUCGGGAGGAACACCAGUGGCGAAGGCGGCUCCCUGGCCUGUAACUGACGCUGAGGCGCGAAAGCGUGGGGAGCGAACAGGAUUAGAUA
This 457-nucleotide ribosomal RNA is filed under the name uncultured bacterium. RNAcentral's name for it is "bacterial SSU rRNA". It matches the Rfam family "Bacterial small subunit ribosomal RNA", at positions 335 to 784 of the family's 1533-position model. The record is from RNAcentral.